This 440-nucleotide ribosomal RNA is filed under the name uncultured bacterium. RNAcentral's name for it is "partial 16S ribosomal RNA". It matches the Rfam family "Bacterial small subunit ribosomal RNA", at positions 338 to 795 of the family's 1533-position model. The record is from RNAcentral.
CCUACGGGUGGCUGCAGUGGGGGAUAUUGCACAAUGGGGGAAACCCUGAUGCAGCGACGCCGCGUGAGUGAAGAAGGAUUUCGGUAUGUAAAGCUCUAUCAGCAGGGAAGAAAAUGACAGUACCUGACCAAGAAGCCCCGGCGAAACACGUACCAGCAGCCGAGGUACUACGUAGGGGGCCAGCGUUAUCCGGAUUUACUGGGUGUAAGGGGAGCGUAGACGGUUAUGUAAGUGUGGAGUGAAAGCCCGGGGCCCAACCCCGGGACUGCCUUUGAAACUGUGUAACUGGAGUACGGGAGGGGCAGGCGGAAUUCCUGGUGUAGCGGUGAAAUGCGUAGAUAUCAGGAGGAACACCGGCGGCGAAGGCGGCCUGCUGGACUGACACUGACGUUGAGGCUCGAAAGCGUGGGGAGCAAACAGGAUUAGAUACCCCUGUAGUC